GAUGAACGCUGGCGGCGUGCCUAAUACAUGCAAGUCGAGCGAACAGACGAGGAGCUUGCUCCUCUGACGUUAGCGGCGGACGGGUGAGUAACACGUGGAUAACCUACCUAUAAGACUGGGAUAACUUCGGGAAACCGGAGCUAAUACCGGAUAAUAUAUUGAACCGCAUGGUUCAAUAGUGAAAGACGGUUUUGCUGUCACUUAUAGAUGGAUCCGCGCCGCAUUAGCUAGUUGGUAAGGUAACGGCUUACCAAGGCGACGAUGCGUAGCCGACCUGAGAGGGUGAUCGGCCACCCUGGAACUGAGACACGCUCCAGACUCCUAAGGGAGGCAGCAGUAGGGAAUCUUCCGCAAUGGGCGAAAGCCUGACGGAGCGACGCCGCGUGAGUGAUGAAGGUCUUCGGAUCGUAAAACUCUGUUAUUAGGGAAGAACAAAUGUGUAAGUAACUAUGCACGUCUUGACGGUACCUAAUCAGAAAGCCACGGCUAACUACGUG
This 497-nucleotide ribosomal RNA is filed under the name uncultured bacterium. Its description in RNAcentral is "partial 16S ribosomal RNA". It matches the Rfam family "Bacterial small subunit ribosomal RNA", at positions 28 to 507 of the family's 1533-position model. The record is from RNAcentral.